CCCGCUGAACUUAAGCAUAUCAAUAAGCGGAGGAAAAGAAACCAACAGGGAUUGCCUCAGUAACGGCGAGUGAAGCGGCAAAAGCUCAAAUUUGAAAUCUGGCCUCACGGUCCGAGUUGUAAUUUGUAGAGGAUGCUUCGAACGUGGUCCGGUCUAAGUUCCUUGGAACAGGACGUCAUAGAGGGUGAGAAUCCCGUAUGUGCCCGGGUGCCAUUGUUCAUGUGAAGCUCCUUCGACGAGUCGAGUUGUUUGGGAAUGCAGCUCAAAAUGGGUGGUAAAUUUCAUCUAAAGCUAAAUACUGGCCAGAGACCGAUAGCGCACAAGUAGAGUGAUCGAAAGAUGAAAAGAACUUUGGAAAGAGAGUUAAACAGUACGUGAAAUUGCUGAAAGGGAAACGCUUGAAGUCAGUCGCGUUGGCCGGGAAUCAGCCUUGCUUUUGCAUGGUGUACUUUCUGGUUGACGGGUCAGCAUCAAUUUUGAUCACUGGAAAAGGCUCAAGGGAAUGUGGCAGCUUCGGCUGUGUUAUAGCCCCUGUUCACAUACAGUGGUUGGGAUUGAGGAACUCAGCACGCCGCAAGGCCGGGUUUCGACCACGUUCGUGCUUAGGAUGCUGGCAUAAUGGCUUUAAGCGACCCGUCUUGAAACACGG
RNAcentral lists this ribosomal RNA (649 nucleotides) under uncultured fungus. RNAcentral's name for it is "eukaryotic LSU rRNA". It matches the Rfam family "Eukaryotic large subunit ribosomal RNA", at positions 24 to 664 of the family's 3401-position model. The record is from RNAcentral. Lineage: Eukaryota; Fungi.